Molecule: RNA transcript, 8567 nt
Organism: Tympanuchus pallidicinctus (lesser prairie-chicken)
Lineage: Eukaryota; Metazoa; Chordata; Aves; Galliformes; Phasianidae
Gene: SCAF8
Gene name: SR-related CTD associated factor 8
Exons: 22
Source: RefSeq, a predicted model, not a curated record
GCUGCGAGGAGCCCCCGCGUGUCCGCCAUAUUGGUGCCCGCGCCGCAGCCGCUGCGCCUUGUUCCUCCAUCUCCUCCCGGCGCGGCCCAGCGGAGCCCGACGGGGGAGGGGACGUCGGCGCCGCCGGGCGGGAAGCGGGGGCGAGGAGACCGCGCGCCGCCGGGAGGAGACGGAAACGAGCGGGGCCCGCGUCCCUCCGCGCCCGCCCCCUGCGCCACCCGCCAUGGCGAGGAGGCCCGGCGGCUCCUGAGCGCGGCGCGCACGCACAGAGCGAGCCGAGCCCCGGCCCGGCCGCCAUCAGCGGAGAGAAGCCGCCCGGCCCCCGCCUCGGCCGCGACAUGGAGGCCGUGAAGGCCUUUAACAGCGAGUUGUACUCACUGAAUGAUUAUAAGCCACCCAUUUCUAAAGCUAAAAUGACACAGAUCACCAAGGCAGCAAUCAAGGCUAUAAAGUUCUACAAGCAUGUUGUGCAGAGUGUUGAGAAAUUCAUUCAGAAGUGCAAACCAGAAUACAAGGUGCCUGGUCUGUACGUCAUUGAUUCGAUUGUGAGGCAGUCCCGGCAUCAGUUUGGGCAAGAGAAGGAUGUAUUUGCUCCAAGAUUCAGCAAUAACAUCAUCAGCACUUUUCAGAACUUGUAUCGUUGUCCUGGGGAUGACAAGAGUAAAAUUGUCAGAGUGCUAAACUUAUGGCAGAAAAAUAACGUGUUCAAGAGUGAAAUUAUUCAGCCUCUUUUGGAUAUGGCAGCAGGAAUUCCUCCACCAGUUGUGACCCCCGUCUUGCCCAGUACUACUGCUGCUAUGAGCAACAAUACACCAGGAACACCUGUGACUCCAGUUACUCCAGCCAAUGUGGUGCAAAGUUUACCUGAUCCUUGGGUAUCUCAGAUUGCUAAUACAGAUACGCUUGCUGCUGUUGCCCAGAUUUUACAGAGUCCCCAAGGCCAACAGCUUCAGCAGUUGAUACAGACGCUGCAGAUACAGCAGCAGAAACCGCAGCCUUCACUACUUCAAGCCCUGGAUGCUGGUCUUGUCGUUCAGUUACAGGCCCUAACUGCACAACUUACAGCUGCAGCUGCUGCUGCCAAUACACUUAAUCCGUUGGAACAGAGUGUCUCUUUUAAUAAGAAGCUGAUGGACAGAUUUGACUUUGGGGAAGAAUCUGAACAAAAUGAAGAGUCUAAGAAGGAAACUCCCACUUCCCAACUGCCAUUAGUACCAGAAUCUGUGAACAACUCACUUUUUCACCAACUAGCUGAACAAUUGCAGCAACAAAAUUUAGAACAUCUCAGACAACAACUUCUGGAGCAACAGCAGCCUCAAAAGGCAAGCCCUGAGGAAAAUCAGGAAGGGAAUUUUGGUUCAGAACACUCUGCAUCACCUUCACAAGGGAGCAGUCAACAGCAGUUUUUAGAAGCAGAAACAAAUGUAGAUGAUUCAAUGGAUAUUCAACAACAGGACAUGGACAUAGAUGAAGGACAGGAUGUUGCUGAAGAGGAGAUUUUUGAACAAGAAGAAAAAAAAUCUGCUGUUCGUUCAAGAUCAAGAACUCGUUCAAGAUCUCGUUCAAGGUCACCAAGGAAAAGAAGGUCUAGAUCACGAUCUGGUUCUCGUAAGCGCAAACACAGGAAGCGUUCACGCUCAAGAUCAAGAGAAAGGAAGAGAAAGUCAUCUCGGUCCUACUCCAGUGAAAGAAGGGCUAGGGAAAGGGAAAAAGAACGUCAGAAAAAGGGAUUGCCUCCAAUACGGUCAAAAACACUAAGUGUUUGCAGCACUACUCUUUGGGUAGGUCAAGUAGACAAGAAGGCAACACAGCAAGAUUUGACCAACUUGUUUGAAGAAUUUGGACAAAUAGAAUCUAUUAAUAUGAUUCCCCCAAGAGGUUGUGCAUAUGUCUGCAUGGUUCAUAGACAAGAUGCAUAUCGUGCUCUUCAGAAGCUUAGUUCUGGGUCCUACAAAAUUGGAUCUAAAAUUAUUAAGAUUGCCUGGGCUUUAAAUAAAGGUGUGAAAACAGAGUAUAAGCAAUUCUGGGAUGUGGACCUGGGAGUUUCAUAUAUUCCUUGGGAGAAGGUAAAACUGGAUGAUUUGGAGGGCUUUGCUGAAGGUGGCAUGAUUGAUCAGGAGACAGUAAAUACAGAAUGGGAAACAGCAAGGAGCUCAGAGCCUCCUAAAGAAAAUAUUCAAACUACGCAGAGUACUGCAGUUGAUAAGAGCACAGUGAUUACAACACAGACAGAAGCUUACACACAGCCAGUCACUAUGCUACAGAUUCCAGUAGCUCCGGCUGUGCCUGCAGUUAGCUUAGUUCCACCUGCAUUUCCUGUCACAAUGUCUGUCCCUCCUCCUGGUUAUAGUGCCAUUCCUCCUCCACCCUUCUUGCGAGCAAGUUUCAAUCCUUCACAGCCACCUCCAGGUUUUAUGCCUCCCCCAGUUCCUCCUGUUGUUCCUCCUCCUGUUGUCCCACCACCUGUUGUCCCACCAGUUGUUCCAACAUCUUUAGUACAGCCUCCAUUACCAAUUGCUCAAGAGACGAUGAAGGAUGUACCUUUUACUGGCCUGGUUCUACCAGUUGUUGGCACAGUUAGUAGCAAUCUAGCUACUCCAACAUUAUCUUCUGGAAGCAUCUUUAAUCCUCUGCCAGUCAACAAACAAGAACCUGAUGAAAAGGGAUCUCAUCUUGCAGACCUUCAGAUUUCUUCCAGUGAAAAUGGUAGAGCUGUGCAAAGUGAUGUCUCAAGUAGCUCUGGACUUGUUGGAGGAAUGCAGCCACCCAGUGUCUCAAGCAGUUCUGGGUUAACUGUAGAAGGCCAGCCACCCAGUGUCUCAAGCAGCUCUGGACUUGCAGGCGGAGUACAGCCACCCAGUGUCUCAAGCAGCUCUGGACUUGGAGGAGGAGUGCAACCACCAACUGUUUCAAGCAGUUCUGGUCUUGCCGGAGGAGUGCAACUACCCAGUGUCUCCAGUAGCUCUUCUCUUGCAGGAGGAGUUCAGCCAACCAGCGUCUCGAGCAGCUCUGGACUUAUGGCUGGAGUGCAACCACCAAAUGUCUCAAGUAGCUCAGGGCUUCUAGCUGGAGUGCAUCCACCCAAUAUCUCAAGCAGCCCUGGCCUUCUACCAGGAAUGCAGCCUCCCAGUGUUUCGAGUAGCUCAGGAGUUCUGGCAGGAGUACAGCCACCGAGUGUCUCAAACAACUCUGGUCUUCUCCUAAUGCCACCACCGAAUGUUUCAAGUAGUUCUGGACUUAUGGGAGUGCCACCACCAAAUAUUUCAAGUAACUCUGGACUUCUGGCAAUACAGCACCCAGCUGGUGUUCAAAGUAUGCCUCAUUUAAAUAUUAGUAGUCAAAGGAUGCCAGGAAUGCCUCUCAUAGAUAUCCGUCCAGGCCUAAUGCCCCAUUCACCUGGACCAAGGUUUCCAUUAAUGCAGCCAGGAAUACCACCACAGCGUAGUAUUCCUCCUCCAGCAAUCCUUGAUCCAUCUCUUCACCCUCCGCCUCGAGGUCCUUUUCCUCCAGGAGAUAUUUUUAAUCAAACAGAAAGACCUUUUGCAACACCAGGAAGACAAAAUAUUGAUAGCAUUUCUAAUCCAGAGAAAAGGUUACCACUUGGAGGCGAUAAUAUUCAGCAGGAGGGAGACAGAGAUUAUCGCUUUCCUCCAGUGGAAAACCGAGAUAAUCUCAACAGACCAUCCCAAGUGGAUGUCAGAGAUUCUGUUGGACGACCACCAGUUGAUCCACGAGAGGGCAUAGGAAGACCUCCAGUAGAUGGAAGAGAACAUUUUGCAAGACCUCAUGUUGACAUGAGAGAAAAUUUUGGAAGACCAGGUAUAGAUAAUCUUGGUCGAAGAGAGCAUUUUGCUUUCAAUUCAGAUAAGCACUGGGGACAAAGAGGAGAUUAUGAUGAAAGAGAGCACCAUGCCUUUCCUAUUUAUGGUGGCCCUAAAGGCUUCCAUGAGGACAGAGAGAGAUUUCGGCAUGUAAACUAUAGGUUUGAUAGUAGAAGUGGUCCCAGCUGGAACAGAGGAUUUGAACAAGAUGCUCACAGAGAUUUUGAUGACCGCAGAAGACCCUGGGAAAGACAGAGGGACAGGGAUGACAGAGAUUUUAACUUCUGCAGAGAAAUCAAUGGAAACAGGUUUGGAAGAGACAGAAUGUCAAACAACUGGAUCCCCCCUCCACACCCACGGGUUUUUGAAUACUUUGAUGGGGCCACUUCCCAACGCAAAGCGGAUAAUUUGCCCCAGGUGAACGGUGAAAAUACAGAGACAGAAAGUCAACCACCAACUGCACAGGUGCAGGACGAUCCAGAACUUUAUGAAAAACUGACAUCUUCCGUCGAGAUAAACAAAGAGAAGAGUGACACAGAAGCUGAUAUAGAAAGUGAACCAGUGGUAGAAAGCACAGAAACUGAGGGGACAUAAUCAUCACUCAGUAGAAAUCAGGGGGCUUUGUGUUUUGGUGGCUUAAUACUGAAGGAGAAAAUCUUGUUAAAUUGCUGAGAGGAAUUGGCUGCUUAGACUGAACAGCCUGGACUCUCACAGCCUUUUCUCAUAGAAGAGGUGUUUCAGCCCUCUGAUCAUCCUUGUGAUCCUCCUCUGGACUUGCUCCAACAGAUCUGUGUCUCUCUUGUGUUGGCACCCCUGGAUCUGAAGAUAAUGCCUGCAGGUGAUGUCUGACAACAGUGGAGUAGAGAGCAUCAGACAGUCAGUUAUGUCACUUUAUCUGGUUUCUCUACUUUUAACGCAGCCCAGGAUAAAAUUGGCUUCCUGGGCUGCAAACACAAAUUGUGUGAAGAUUUUCAUCCACCAGUACCCUCUCAUAAUUUUCUUCAGGACUGUCAGCAUGUUCAUCCGUUCUGUACUGAUUUGAGAUUGCACCAGCUCAGAUGCAGCAGCUUGUACUUGUCCCUGUUGAAUUUCAUGAGGUUCAUGUGGGCCCAUUUCUCAAGUCUGUCCAUGUCCCUGUAGAUUGCAUCCCUUCUCUCUAAGGUAUUACCAACACCACUCAGCUUGGCGUCACCCACAAACUUGCAGAGGGUUCAUUUGAUGCCACUGUCCAUAUCACCAAUGGAGAUAUUAAACAGUAUCAAUCCUCAUGGAUUGUCCCAUGAGGGAUAAUACUCAUCAUUAGUCUGCCUGUGGACAUCGAGCUAUUGACUAGAAUCUUUGAAUGUGACCAUUCAGCCAAUUUAUCCAUGCAAUAGUCCAUCCAUUAAUUCCGUGUCUGUCUAAUUUGGAGAUGAGAAUGUUAUGUGGGACCAUAUCAAAGUUGACAUCAAGAUGACAUCAGUUGCUCUUCGCUUUAUCCAUCAGUGCUGUCACUGUCAUAGAAGGCCACCAAAUUAGGCAUGCAUGAUUUGUCCUUUUUGAAGCUAUGCUGGCCAUCUCUAAUCACCUUCCUGUCUUCUGUAUGCCUUGACAUGGUUUCCAGGAAGAUCUGCUUCAUGAUCUUACUGAGUGUUGGAGUGAGGCUGUCUGAUCUGUAGUUACACUUCUUAAAAAUGGGUGCUAUGUUUCCCGUUUUCAACUUACCAGGUACUUCCCCUGACUUAUGAAAGGUGAUGGAUAAUGGCUUAGCAACUUUAUCUGCCAGUUCCUUCAUUGCCUCAUCUUCUGCAUGUAGCAAUUAAAAGUUCUUAUGCUCUUAGAAGAAUAUCUUUCAGUAUCUGCCAGCUCCUUUAUCUCCUGAGAUAUUCUCCCAGGAGGUCCUAUAUCCACCUUUAGCAGCUGAAAGUUUGCCUCCCUGAGAUCGUUACUAUAUUUUUAGGCCAGACUAAAUUCCUCAAGAACAUGAAUCCUACCAGGAUAUAAUCACUGCAGCCCAGGCUACCUCCAGUCUUGAUUUCUCAAGUAAGUUCCUGUGCAUCAAUGAUCAGCAGAUCCGAUGACACUUUAAAGUGCUCAUUUUGUUGAUAGAUUUUCCACUAAGUCAAACCUUCGGAUCAUUUAAUUUGAAACUGGUAAAAAUUUCAUUAUUUUUGAUUCCAGUAAUAUAGUCUUCAAAUAACAACAACCAAAAAAUGGCUUUUCUAUUUUAAUGGGAUUUUCUGUUUUACUUAAUGGAAUUUUCUAUUUUAAAGGAAUCUUAACAGUAAGAAUUUUAAAACAUAAAGUGUCAGAAGAUACUGAGAGUAACUAGGACAAUUUUAUUGUUGCUAAGUAAGAUGAUAAAGGGAUCUUUCUCUAUUGAUCAGCUGAAUUGCAAUUAGCUACAUUUGCCUUUCAAGUGCUGAGGUUUCACGUGUAAAGAUGUACUGAGAAGCCAUCUACUUCUUGUGUAGCUGAGAGAGACUGAAAAAAUAUGGAAGCAGAAUCUCUUAAUUUUGCUGCAAAAUUUCAAACUUUGUUGUUGUUGUUUUAAUUUGAAGCCAUUUAAGUGGACAAGAAUUGCAAAAAGGUUGGACUUUUGUUUACUUUUUUUCUCUCCAGGGGCAAAUUUUAUAUCAUGUUGCAACUAGCCUUAUAUUUCUCCUUGAAGGAUCAUCUUGAUGGUAUUCAUCCCACAAAGUUUGUGCAAGCACUUUGAGUACUCAAUAUUUUGAAGUUUUGUUAUAUCUUGUAAUCAAGAAAGAUUAGAUAGAGCUACUAAAAACAAAAUCUGUAGCACCUCUUUAAGAGUAGUAACUUUUAGGGAAGGUGCAUAAGGUCUGGAAAGUGAUUCUUGAAAGCAGUAGGAUACUUAAUAGUUGAGUUGGUGGUUUUUUGUUCUUUGUUUCUCUGAAGUUGAUAAACUGUAAAACUGUAUUUGCCAAAAUUAUUGUAUUCCGUUCUAUUUUGCACAGACUUCAUGAAAAGGGGAAGUUUCAUUGAGCUUCUACUGUUACUAUCUUACAGAUGUUCAGCUACCAUGGAUUAGAGGAAGGCAAAGUCUGAUGUGUGCACUCUUAAAACUCAAGUAAUAGCUUGAUUGAUUGAUGUGCAGUUGAAGAUGACUGUAUUUCUCUUUUUAAGAAGUUUAAAAUGCACUUGCAUUGAAACAGUGCAGUCUGUUUAGUAAUCUUAUUCUGUAGUUUGUCAUUUGUCUUUUAAAGUUAACUCCCUAAUUCUAGUUUUAAUUCUCUUCUUAUAAAACUAAAUCACACUGAUUCCUUUAGGUGAGGAAUUUAUUUUGUUCUUUACAGAUAAAGUCUUCUCAAGUAGUAUUUCAACCUGUUGAAAAUUCUAGCAGACACUAUGAAUUGGACCUAAUACAAGCAAUAGUUAGAUAAUGUCCAAGAAGGAAUAGCUUGCCAACCUAGAUUGAUAUCAAAUAAAACAAAAUGGGAAUAAAACUUUCUUUUUUAGAUUUAAUGAAAAUUAAUACAUACAUUCUGAUUAAACAUUCACUCAGUAAGAAGCAAGCAUCCAAAGAUAUUACUAGUCCGGAGCAUUUUCCCAAAUGUUGUUCAUAUGACAAAAGAAAAAAAGGAAAGCUAGGAAGGGUCAGAUCGAUGUGUAAAUAUUUGUAAGUUUACAGUAUCUUGGAAAAAUGACUUGAUAGAAACAUGAAUACAUCGAUCGCUUUUGGCUCUUUUUAAGUAUUAGGUGCUGCAGAACACAGAAGGCUCCAGGUAAAGAGUGAACCAACUUGUCUGGAAGAAAUGGGUGGAACUGAGAUGUUAGUGUAAAAUCCAAGAGUUACAUUGCCUUGCUUUUGUUACUCCAGUCUGAAUGCUGAUUAGAGGAUGCUCAAAUUUGUUGCAUUUUCAAUUACUUCUGGUGUUCAGGUGUAUGACCAAUACAGACACAGUAAGUGACAAGUUGUGAAUGAUGAGGUUGGUGGCCCUGCGUGUGGCAAGGUAGCUGGAACUUGGUGAUCCUUGGGGCCGCUUCUAACCCAAGCCAUUCUAUGAUUCUAAGACCAGUUGUUUACCUGUGAGAUUUUGCCAUUGGCUUCACUGAAUCCGGAAUUUCAGACUCUGUCCAGGUGUUUUCUCUUCAGCAGCCAUUAGAAAAGCUAAGGUGCUAGAUUAUCUGGUUCUAGUUUCAUUUUCUGAUUUCUACUCUUUAAAGCCUAAAGCCCUCUAAGAGGUAGAAUGUGUUUGUUUUUAUGAUUUAAUUCAUAAGAAAGUAUUCAUAAGAAGUAUUCAUGACAUCUCUGUUAAAGGCUGUUCCAAGAUUCUGAGAGUAGAAUGGUAUGAAAUGUGCAAUCUAUGAGAGUAGAUGUAUGAAAUAUUUGAAAAAACUGCAGGUGUUGUACUUGUAUAAUCCUCAGCAGGAUAAUUUAUGAAGUGAAAGAAAGAAAGCUAGUUAAACACGCUGAUCUUACCUUCUUUCUCGUUCCAAAUGACCUUGUUUCUAAAGAGGUCUUUUCAGUGCUGCAUGCAGAGGAGCCCCAUACUACAUGGUCACUGUUCUUUGUUUAGAAUCCAAUAUGUAUGCACUGGUUUUCUUUUCUCCAUCUUCUUACUGCUUUUUGGAAAGGUUGGGAUUUAUAUUUAAGUAGCUUUACCAUCAAAGAAUUUAAAAAAAAAAAAAAAAUGCACUACGUUAAUAAUUUUUUCUUAUUUCAUUUGAGAAUGCACUGCCCAGUUCUUCUCUAUGAAUUUCCUUUUCCAACAAAUUCUUGCAUUUCUGUUUGACCAGAAUAGAAAU